UGAGUUGCGAACGGGUGAGUAACGCGUAGGUAACCUGCCUGGUAGCGGGGGAUAACUAUUGGAAACGAUAGCUAAUACCGCAUAAUAUUAAUUAUUGCAUGAUAAUUAAUUGAAAGGUGCAAUUGCACCACUACCAGAUGGACCUGCGUUGUAUUAGCUAGUAGGUGAGGUAACGGCUCACCUAGGCGACGAUACAUAGCCGACCUGAGAGGGUGAUCGGCCACACUGGGACUGAGACACGGCCCAG
This 247-nucleotide ribosomal RNA is filed under the name uncultured bacterium. RNAcentral's name for it is "partial 16S ribosomal RNA". It matches the Rfam family "Bacterial small subunit ribosomal RNA", at positions 92 to 334 of the family's 1533-position model. The record is from RNAcentral.